UACAGAGGUCUCAAGCGUUGUUCGGAUUCAUUGGGCGUAAAGGGUGCGUAGGCGGCUUGUCGCGUCGACUGUGAAAACCCACGGCUUAACUGUGGGCUUGCAGUCGAUACGGGCAGGCUAGAGUUCGGUAGGGGAGACUGGAAUUCCUGGUGUAGCGGUGAAAUGCGCAGAUAUCAGGAGGAACACCGGUGGCGAAGGCGGGUCUCUGGGCCGAUACUGACGCUGAGGAGCGAAAGCGUGGGGAGCGAACAGG
RNAcentral lists this ribosomal RNA (253 nucleotides) under uncultured bacterium. RNAcentral's name for it is "partial 16S ribosomal RNA". It matches the Rfam family "Bacterial small subunit ribosomal RNA", at positions 524 to 776 of the family's 1533-position model. The record is from RNAcentral.